UAGGGAAUCUUCGGCAAUGGGGGCAACCCUGACCGAGCAACGCCGCGUGAGUGAAGAAGGUUUUCGGAUCGUAAAGCUCUGUUGUAAGAGAAGAACGUGUGUGAGAGUGGAAAGUUCACACAGUGACGGUAACUUCCCAGAAAGGGCCGGCUAACUACGUGCCAGCAGCCCCGGUAAUACGUAGGUUCCGCGCGUUGUCCGGAUUUAUUGGGCGUAAAGCGAGCUCAGGCGGUUUAAUAAGUCUGAAGUUAAAGGCAGGGGCUUAACCAGGGAUCGCGUUGGAAACUGUUAAACUUGAGUGCAGAAGAGGAGAGUGGAAUUCCAUGUGUAGCGGUGAAAUGCGUAGAUAUAUGGAGGAACACCGGUGGAGAAAGCGGCUCUCUGGUCUGUAACUGACGCUGAGGCGCGAAAGCGUGGGGAGCAAACAGG
RNAcentral lists this ribosomal RNA (429 nucleotides) under bacterium. RNAcentral's name for it is "partial 16S ribosomal RNA". It matches the Rfam family "Bacterial small subunit ribosomal RNA", at positions 355 to 776 of the family's 1533-position model. The record is from RNAcentral.